RNAcentral lists this antisense RNA (190 nucleotides) under uncultured Plesiomonas sp. RNAcentral describes it as "Yersinia sRNA 276". It matches the Rfam family "Yersinia sRNA 276". Lineage: Bacteria; Pseudomonadati; Pseudomonadota; Gammaproteobacteria; Enterobacterales; Enterobacteriaceae. The record is from RNAcentral.
AUUGACAUUAACGACUCAUUUUGUGAGCCCUGACCCACAGCAAGAUAGGCAUUCAUACCUAACUCUUUCAUCUGCUGUUCGCCAAUAACACGGGUAGUUACGGGGGCAAACUCAUCAGCCAACUGGCGAGCAUGUGACGCUAAAUACGCCGGAUUACAGAUAUUAGGUGGCAUGUUACCUAAAUCUUUGG